Molecule: ribosomal RNA, 521 nt
Filed under: uncultured bacterium
Lineage: Bacteria
Description: bacterial SSU rRNA
Rfam family: Bacterial small subunit ribosomal RNA
Source: RNAcentral
GGAUGAACGCUGGCGGCGUGCCUAAUACAUGCAAGUCGAGCGAACAGAUAAGGAGCUUGCUCCUUUGACGUUAGCGGCGGACGGGUGAGUAACACGUGGGUAACCUACCUAUAAGACUGGAAUAACUCCGGGAAACCGGGGCUAAUGCCGGAUGACAUUUAGAACCGCAUGGUUCUAAAGUGAAAGAUGGUUUUGCUAUCACUUAUAGAUGGACCCGCGCCGUAUUAGCUAGUUGGUAAGGUAACGGCUUACCAAGGCAACGAUACGUAGCCGACCUGAGAGGGUGAUCGGCCACACUGGAACUGAGACACGGUCCAGACUCCUACGGGAGGCAGCAGUAGGGAAUCUUCCGCAAUGGGCGAAAGCCUGACGGAGCAACGCCGCGCGAGUGAUGAAGGUCUUCGGAUCGUAAAACUCUGUUAUUAGGGAAGAACAAAUGUGUAAGUAACUGUGCACGUCUUGACGGUACCUAAUCAGAAAGCCACGGCUAACUACGUGCCAGCAGCCGCGGUAAUACGUAG